RNAcentral lists this ribosomal RNA (979 nucleotides) under uncultured organism. RNAcentral's name for it is "bacterial SSU rRNA". It matches the Rfam family "Bacterial small subunit ribosomal RNA", at positions 34 to 1019 of the family's 1533-position model. The record is from RNAcentral.
CGCUGGCGGCGUGCCUAAUACAUGCAAGUCGAACGAGAACCCUUGGAUCGUCUGGGGGGGAGAGUGGCGAACUGGUGAGUAACACGUGGGUGACCUGCCCCGAAGACGGGGAUAACCGUUGGAAACGACGGCUAAUACCCGAUAUACUCGGUGAUUCGGUUCAUCGAGUAAAGGCUCCGGUGCUUCGGGAUGGGCCUGCGGCCUAUCAGCUAGUUGGUGGGGUAAUGGCCCACCAAGGCGAAGACGGGUAGGGGGCGUGAGAGCGCGGNCCCCCACACUGGCACUGAGAUACGGGCCAGACUUCUACGGAAGGCAGCAGUCGGGGAUAUUGCACAAUCGGCGAAAGCCGGAUGCAGCGACGCCGCGUGGGCGAUGAAGGCCUUCGGGUUGUAAAGCCCUUUUAUGGGGGAAGAGACAAGGACGGUACCCCAAGAAUAAGCGUCGGCUAACUACGUGCCAGCAGCCGCGGUAAAACGUAGGACGCAAGCGUUAUCCGGAUUUACUGGGCGUAAAGAGCGUUGAGGCGGUUCCGUAAGUUGGGCGUGAAAGCCCCGGGCUUAACCCGGGGAGGUCGUUCAAAUACUGCGGGACUUGAGGGCAGCAGACGGAGGCGGAAUUCCCGGUGUAGCGGUGAAAUGCGUAGAUAUCGGGAGGAACACCCAGUGGCGAAGGCGGCCUCCUGGGCUGGUUUUGAACGCUGGAGGCGAAAGCCUAAGGGAAGCGAACGGGAAUUAAGAAACCCCGGUUAGUCUUAACCGGUAACCGAUGGAUGCUGGGUGUGCGGGGUAUAGAUCCCCUUCGUGCCGAAGUUAACGCCGUAAGCAUCCCGCCUGGGGAUUACGGCCGCAAGGCUUAAACUCAAACGAAUUGACGGGGGCCCGCACAAGCAGCGGAGCGUGUGGUUUAAUUCGAUGCUACACGAAGAACCUUACCUGGGCUUGACAUGUAGGUAGUAGUGAAGCGAAAGCGGAACGACCCU